Molecule: long non-coding RNA, 2835 nt
Filed under: Cyanistes caeruleus (blue tit)
Lineage: Eukaryota; Metazoa; Chordata; Aves; Passeriformes; Paridae
Description: lncRNA (ENSCCEG00000005435.1)
Source: RNAcentral
ACACUGGGACACCCAGGGGACACCGGAAGGGACUUGGGGACAUCUCUGGGGACACCGGGAGGGACUUGGGGACAUCCUUGGGGACACCGGGAGGGACUUGGGGACACUUCGGGGACCUUGGGACACCUUUGGGGACCCUGGGAAGGAUUUGGGGACACUGGACACCCCUGGGGACACUGGGGACACCCUUGGGGACAUCGCGACCCUUUCGGGGACACCAGGGAGGGCCCGGUUCCGGUUGGGGGCGUGGCUUCAUUAAGCCCCGCCCAUUUCCUGACGUCACCCCGCUGGUCCCGCCCCCCCCUCAGGCGCCGCAGUGCGCCGAGAGCGAGCGGAGCCGAAAAGAGCCGGAAAAAGCCGAACGGAGCCGAGCGCCACCGAACCGGGACACGGAAAGAGCCGAACGGCGGAACAGAACCGGAGGCGAACCGGAGGCGAACCGGAGGCGAACCGGACCCUCCUGAGGGUCCGGCCAUGCCUUGAAGCGGCUCCUCAGAGCCGUCCCGGGCUCUUCCUCCUCGUCCUCCUCAUCCUCGUCCUCCUCCUGCGGCGGGGGAGGAGCCCAUGGGCCGGGCCGGGGGCUGAGGGGCGGCCGGAGACGCUGAACUGGGCCCAAACUGGGCCGAACUGGGCUCGAACUGGGCCCAACUGGGCCCAACUAGGCCGGAGGAAUCGGAACCGAGCCGAAAAGAGCCGAGCUCGUCCGGAAAGAGCCGAAGCGGACUAAACGGAACCGGGCCGGAAGUAAGCGGAGCGGACCGGAAAUAGAGGGAGAGACCGAACCGGGGCUCGGAAAGAGCCGAAAGGGUACGGAAAUUGCCGAAGGGGUACGGAAGUUGCCGAAGGGGUCCGGAAAUUGCCGAAGUGCCGCCAUGUUGCUGUGGCUCCUCCUCGGGCUCCUCGAGGUUCCAGGAGCCCUGGGGGGCUGCGUGGAGGUGGCCUCGGGCACCGAGGCCGUGCUGGGCUCGCCCUUUCGGCUCCUGUGCAUCGCCUGCAAGCGCCGCAGCGAGACCCCGGCCGAGGCCGAGAGCGAGNNNNNNNNNNNNNNNNNNNNCCAAAAUGUCCCCAAAAUGGCCCCAAAAUGUCACCUGGGACCCCCAAAAUGUCCCCAAAUGUCCCCAGAUGUCCUCAAAAUGUCAACUGGGGCUCUUCAAAGUCACCUGGGACCCCAAAAAUGUCCCCAAAAUGUCCCCAAAUGUCCCCAAAAUGUCACCUGGGACCCCAAAAUGUCCCCAAAUGUCCCCAAAAUGUCCCCAAAUGUCCCCAAAAUGUCACCGAGGACCCCCAAAAUGUCCCCAAAUGGCCCCAAAAUGUCACCUGGGGCUCUUCAAGGUCACCUGGGACCCCAAAAAUGUCCCCAAAUGGCCCCAAAUGACCCCAAAAUGUCCCCAAAAUGUCCCCAAAUGUCCCCAAAAUGUCACCAGGGACCCCCAAAAUGUCCCCAAAUGUCCCCAAAAUGUCCCCAAAUGUCCCCAAAAUGUCACCGAGGACCCCCAAAAUGUCCCCAAAUGGCCCCAAAAUGUCACCUGGGGCUCUUCAAGGUCACCUGGGACCCCAAAAAUGUCCCCAAAUGGCCCCAAAUGACCCCAAAAUGGCCCCAAAAUGUCCCCAAAUGUCCCCAAAAUGUCACCAGGGACCCCCAAAAUGUCCCCAAAUGUCCCCAAAAUGUCCCCAAAAGUCCAAAUGGGGCAAUUUUGGGUCUUUUUGGGACCAUUUUGGGCUGGAUUUCGAUGCAUUUUUCACCCAUUUUCACCAUUUUCCCGCCAAAUUUCGCCGGAAUUUCGCCAGAAUUCCACCAAAAUUCCGGGAUUUUUUGGGAAUUUUGCCAUUCCUGAUCCUUCUUAAUCCCAAUUCCAUUUCUGGACCCCUGGGAGUGAAUUUUGGGUCUCUUUGGGUCCGUUUUGGGCUGGAUUUCGACGCCUUUAGCGCGGAUUUUGACCAUUUUCCCGCCAAAUUUCGCCGGAAUUUCGCCAGAAUUCCACCAAAAUUCCAGGAUUUUUUGGGAAUUCCGACAUUCCUGAUCUCCCUUAACUCCAUUCCCAUUUCUGGACCCCUGGGAGCGAAUUUUGGGUCUCUUUGGGUCCGUUUUGGGCUGGAUUUCGACGCCUUUAGCGCGGAUUUUCCCCAUUUUCCCGCCAAAUUUCGCGGGAAUUCCGCCGGAAUUCCGGGAUUUUUUGGGAAUUCCGACAUUCCUGAUCCUUCUUAACUCCAUUCCCAUUUCUGGAGCCCUGGUAGUGAAUUUUGGGGUCUUCUUCAUCUAUUUUGGGCUGGAUUUCGACGCCUUUAGCGCGGAUUUUCACCAUUUUCCCGCCAAAUUUCUUGGGAAUUCUAUCGGAAUUCCAGGAUUUUUUUGGGAAUUCCGACAUUCCUGAUCUCCCUUAACUCCAUUCCCAUUUUUGGACCCCUGGGAGUGAAUUUUGGGUUUUUUUGGGACCAUUUUGGGCUGGAUUUCGACGCCUUUUUUGCACAUUUUGACCAUUUUCCCGCCAAAUUUCGCGGGAAUUCCGCCGGAAUUCCGGGAUUUUUUGGGAAUUCCGACAUUCCUGAUCCUUCUUAAUCCCAAUUCCCAUUUCUGGACCCCUGGGAGUGAAUUUUGGGGUCUUUUGGGACCAUUUUGGGUCCGUUUUGGGCUGGAUUUCGACGCCUUUUUUGCACAUUUUGACCAUUUUCCCGCCAAAUUUCGCCGGAAUUUCGCCAGAAUUCCACCAAAAUUCCAGGAUUUUUUGGGAAUUCUGACAUUCCUGAUCCUUCUUAACUCCAGUCCCAUUUUUGGACCCCUGGGAGCGAAUUUUGGGUCUCUUUGGGUCCGUUUUGGGCUGGAUUUCGACGCCUUUA